RNAcentral lists this ribosomal RNA (465 nucleotides) under uncultured bacterium. Its description in RNAcentral is "partial 16S ribosomal RNA". It matches the Rfam family "Bacterial small subunit ribosomal RNA", at positions 28 to 507 of the family's 1533-position model. The record is from RNAcentral.
GACGGACGCUGGCGGCGUGCUUAACACAUGCAAGUCGUACGGUAAGGCCCUUUCGGGGGUACACGAGUGGCGAACGGGUGAGUAACACGUGAGUAACCUGCCCACAACUUUGGGAUAACGCUAGGAAACUGGUGCUAAUACUGGAUAUGUGCUCCUGCUGCAUGGUGGGGGUUGGAAAGCUCCGGCGGUUGUGGAUGGACUCGCGGCCUAUCAGCUUGUUGGUGGGGUAGUGGCCUACCAAGGCGGCGACGGGUAGCCGGCCUGAGGGGGUGACCGGCCACAUUGGGACUGAGAGACGGCCCAGACUCCUACGGGAGGCAGCAGUGGGGAAUAUUGCAGAAUGGGCGCAAGCCUGAUGCAGCAACGCCGCGUGCGGGAUGACGGCCUUCGGGUUGUAAACCGCUUUCAGCAGGGACGAAGCUUUUUGUGACGGUACCUGCAGAAGAAGCACCGGCUAACUACGUG